RNAcentral lists this ribosomal RNA (94 nucleotides) under Bacillus velezensis. Lineage: Bacteria; Bacillati; Bacillota; Bacilli; Caryophanales; Bacillaceae. The record is from RNAcentral.
UUUGGUGGCGAUAGCGAAGAGGUCACACCCGUUCCCAUGCCGAACACGGAAGUUAAGCUCUUCAGCGCCGUGUGAGAGUAGGACGCCGCCAAGC